UGCCCCAUGGCUGAGUUGGUUACAGCGUCCGACUGUUAUUCACCUUGAAAAGCGGUAUCGGAAGGUCGUGAGUUCGAGCCUCACUGGGGCAG
Non-coding RNA from Lactifluus subvellereus, 92 nucleotides. NCBI's taxonomy places the organism in Eukaryota, Fungi, Basidiomycota, Agaricomycetes, Russulales, Russulaceae. The record is from the annotation of a GenBank genome assembly.